RNAcentral lists this long non-coding RNA (975 nucleotides) under Mustela putorius furo (domestic ferret). Its description in RNAcentral is "lncRNA (ENSMPUG00000025721.1)". The record is from RNAcentral. Lineage: Eukaryota; Metazoa; Chordata; Mammalia; Carnivora; Mustelidae.
CGGACAACAAAGGGCGGAGGGGGUCCCCCACGUGCGGGCCCUGCACCUCUCCAACCCGCCGCCAUGCGCGCUUACCUCGGCACAGGUGAAUCCCAAGACGGAACCGAGCAGAAAGGCUCAGCGCUCUGGCCUCAUCCGUCCCGCAUGAAAAUUACAGGCGACUGUUCGUGGGGAUGCAGGAGCAGGAACACAGAAGCCGUGCCAAGCUCUCUCUGCUCCCAGGAUGUUGCCCUGUAGCUCUGAACUUAAGCGACUGUAUUUUUGGAUUUCUUUGCUACAGUAUCUUAGCCAGUAUCCUGACUAACACGAGGGAUGCUUCUGUAACAAUCAGGAAACUGACAUAGGUGGCGUUGAUUCACGAGCUGGAAGGUGGGCCGUCCGGGAAUCAGGAGGUGCCUUGUGACGCUGUGGCAAAAAAUGUAUCAAAUAUCCAAAUACUCAGUUUAUACAAUAUCAAAUAAAUUGUCAAAAUUUCAUCUGAAGUAACUUGAAAGACUGAGAAGUUUGCUCUUGGAAAACUCAGAACUUUGCUAGGUGUUCGCUGUUCCUGUUUCGGGUAAUGUAAUAAAGGAGGGAGAUGUGUUCAGGUUGAAAUCAGGCAAUGUUCAAGCAGAGAUAAAGGAAAUAGAGCUCUCUUCACUGAGAUUUCUUUGUCCAUAGCCAGCAGCCUAAACUGAUGGAGAUACAGAAUCGGGGGACAGUGCAAAAACCACGCCUCCAAUUAUGUGUCGGAUUCUGCUCGAAGCUGUGCAGAUAUACACUUAACCUUACAAUUACUCUUCUUUUCCAUUUCCUCCACCUUGACGAUCAGAAUAGUGAUGUUUUAUUACAGAAACAUUAUUAAGUUUAAUAACGUGCAAAACCCUGCAUUGUCCUUGGAACAGGUAGAAUCUUAAAAAAAAACAAAAACAAAAACAAAAGCUAAUUUCCUUUGUCCCCUGGGUUGGACUCCAGCCUGUGCCUUGCUUUUGUCAU